RNAcentral lists this ribosomal RNA (508 nucleotides) under uncultured bacterium. Its description in RNAcentral is "partial 16S ribosomal RNA". It matches the Rfam family "Bacterial small subunit ribosomal RNA", at positions 28 to 507 of the family's 1533-position model. The record is from RNAcentral.
GACGAACGCUGGCGGCGUGCCUAAUACAUGCAAGUCGAACGCUUCUUUCCUCCCGAGUGCUUGCCCUCAAUUGGAAAGAGGAGUGGCGGACGGGUGAGUAACACGUGGGUAACCUACCCAUCAGAGGGGGAUAACACUUGGAAACAGGUGCUAAUACCGCAUAACAGUUUAUGCCGCAUGGCAUAAGAGUGAAAGGCGCUUUCGGGUGUCGCUGAUGGAUGGACCCGCGGUGCAUUAGCUAGUUGGUGAGGUAACGGCUCACCAAGGCCACGAUGCAUAGCCGACCUGAGAGGGUGAUCGGACACACUGGGACUGAGACACGGCCCAGACUCCUACGGGAGGCAGCAGUAGGGAAUCUUCGGCAAUGGACGAAAGUCUGACCGAGCAACGCCGCGUGAGUGAAGAAGGUUUUCGGAUCGUAAAACUCUGUUGUUAGAGAAGAACAAGGACGUUAGUAACUGAACGUCCCCUGACGGUAUCUAACCAGAAAGCCACGGCUAACUACGUG